This is a long non-coding RNA of Phragmites australis (common reed), 487 nucleotides long. RefSeq lists it as uncharacterized. The transcript is spliced from 2 exons. The record is from RefSeq and is a predicted model, not a curated record. Lineage: Eukaryota; Viridiplantae; Streptophyta; Magnoliopsida; Poales; Poaceae.
GCCUACUGGCAGCCCACAAAGCAGUGGCCCAGCGUGCGAGGCGGAUCCGGUUCGCCCUGGUCUUUUCUUCCGCCGCACCAGUUCUUCUGCACGCGCGCACCACCCCUCGCCGGCGGCUCCUCCUCCUCCUCCGCCGCCGCCGCCGCAGCGUCGCAGGAGCUCGCCUCGUCGGUGACCAUGUACCGCGCAGCGGGGAGCCACCUCCGCUCCCUCAAGACCGCAGCUUGAUCGCCACCUGGGUACCAUCCUCCAAGAAGCCAUCGUAGACGUACCCGAAGCCGCCCCGGCCGAGCACUCGCUGGAAGUUGUUCGUGAUGACCUCUAAUUCCCCGUACGUGAACCGACGGUUCUCAAGUUGCAGCGAGCUCUGCACAUGGCUCGUCAUCUCAUUGAGGCUUCACAGAGUUGCUGUUUGAUCCUAAUUAGAACAUAAAACAAGCAUCAGUUUUUUGUUCAGGUUGGGGAAAAUUUGCUGGAGCAGACAGUU